This is a non-coding RNA of Picea glauca (white spruce), 119 nucleotides long. The record is from Rfam. NCBI's taxonomy places the organism in Eukaryota, Viridiplantae, Streptophyta, Pinopsida, Pinales, Pinaceae.
GGGUGCGAUCAUACGAGUGUUAAUGCACCGGAUCCCAUCAGAAUUUCGCAGUUAAGCGCGCUUGGGCUAGAGUAGUACUGGGAUGGGUGACCUCCCGGGAAGUCCUAGUGUUGCACCCU